GACGAACGCUGGCGGCGUGCCUAAUACAUGCAAGUAGAACGCUGAAGAGAGGAGCUUGCUCUUCUUGGAUGAGUUGCGAACGGGUGAGUAACGCGUAGGUAACCUGCCUUGUAGCGGGGGAUAACUAUUGGAAACGAUAGCUAAUACCGCAUAACAAUAGGUGACACAUGUCAUUUAUUUGAAAGGGGCAAUUGCUCCACUACAAGAUGGACCUGCGUUGUAUUAGCUAGUAGGUGAGGUAACGGCUCACCUAGGCGACGAUACAUAGCCGACCUGAGAGGGUGAUCGGCCACACUGGGACUGAGACACGGCCCAGACUCCUACGGGAGGCAGCAGUAGGGAAUCUUCGGCAAUGGGGGCAACCCUGACCGAGCAACGCCGCGUGAGUGAAGAAGGUUUUCGGAUCGUAAAGCUCUGUUGUAAGUCAAGAACGAGUGUGAGAGUGGAAAGUUCACACUGUGACGGUAGCUUACCAGAAAGGGACGGCCAACUACGUG
This 497-nucleotide ribosomal RNA is filed under the name uncultured bacterium. RNAcentral's name for it is "partial 16S ribosomal RNA". It matches the Rfam family "Bacterial small subunit ribosomal RNA", at positions 28 to 507 of the family's 1533-position model. The record is from RNAcentral.